AAGGGAUAACUGUAAAUUGAAGUCAUAUAUUUCACAUAAUAAAAACGAAUUAAUCCAUUAAAGUUGUACUAACUACAACAAAUAUAUAGUUUUGCAGAAAAGCAUACAUUCAGAUCUCCUCAGAACUCCCAUCAAAUGGAACCAGAGAAGAUAAACAAUUACAUUAAUCUAAUAAAACCAAGCUCUCUCUCUCUCUUUCCCUCUCCAUCUCUCUCCCUCACACACACUCAUAUAUAGAUAUAGAUAUAGAUGUAGCUCGGUUGAGUUAAGAAUCUGAUUCUGACACAGGAGUUGGAUGAACUUUCUUGAACACAUGACCAGAGAAGCAACUAGAUGAUCCAUCACUGUUUUGUAAUGCUUUUUCUUGACUUGUAUUCUUUUGGAGUCCGUUGAUCUUCUCUUUGUUGAGUUUCCUCAAUACGUAAACUUCAGCAAUAUCAAAAUUAAGACUCAACAUGGCUGCUCUUUCGAUACAAAAAUACAGAUGCAGGAAAUUUCUGAUUAUAUGGUAUGAAUUGAAUUGAAACGAUGAAUGAAUGAAUGAACGAAAGAAUGCAAUUAAUGGGAUAUAUAUAGAACUUUAUUCCUACGCAAUGCAUGACAAAAGCUGGCAU
RNAcentral lists this long non-coding RNA (614 nucleotides) under Olea europaea (common olive). RNAcentral's name for it is "long non-coding RNA (OEUR_LNC001625)". The record is from RNAcentral. Lineage: Eukaryota; Viridiplantae; Streptophyta; Magnoliopsida; Lamiales; Oleaceae.